RNAcentral lists this ribosomal RNA (579 nucleotides) under Trichoderma spirale. Its description in RNAcentral is "eukaryotic LSU rRNA". The stretch from base 213 to 366 matches the Rfam family "5.8S ribosomal RNA". The record is from RNAcentral. Lineage: Eukaryota; Fungi; Ascomycota; Sordariomycetes; Hypocreales; Hypocreaceae.
GGAGGGAUCAUUACCGAGUUUACAACUCCCAAACCCAAUGUGAACGUUACCAAACUGUUGCCUCGGCGGGAUCUCUGCCCCGGGUGCGUCGCAGCCCCGGACCAAGGCGCCCGCCGGAGGACCAACCAAAAACUCUUUUGUAUACCCCCUCGCGGGUUUUUUAUAUCUGAGCCAUCUCGGCGCCUCUCGUAGGCGUUUCGAAAAUGAAUCAAAACUUUCAACAACGGAUCUCUUGGUUCUGGCAUCGAUGAAGAACGCAGCGAAAUGCGAUAAGUAAUGUGAAUUGCAGAAUUCAGUGAAUCAUCGAAUCUUUGAACGCACAUUGCGCCCGCCAGUAUUCUGGCGGGCAUGCCUGUCCGAGCGUCAUUUCAACCCUCGAACCCCUCCGGGGGGUCGGCGUUGGGGAUCGGCCCUUUACGGGGCCGGCCCCGAAAUACAGUGGCGGUCUCGCCGCAGCCUCUCCUGCGCAGUAGUUUGCACACUCGCAUCGGGAGCGCGGCGCGUCCAUUGCCGUAAAACACCCAACUUUCUGAAAUGUUGACCUCGGAUCAGGUAGGAAUACCCGCUGAACUUAAGCAU